Molecule: ribosomal RNA, 459 nt
Filed under: uncultured bacterium
Lineage: Bacteria
Description: partial 16S ribosomal RNA
Rfam family: Bacterial small subunit ribosomal RNA
Source: RNAcentral
CCUACGGGAGGCAGCAGUGAGGAAUAUUGGUCAAUAGCCGAGAGGCUGAACCAGCCAAGUCGCGUGAGGGAAGACGGCCCUACGGGUUGUAAACCUCUUUUGUCGGGGAGCAAAGCGAGUCACGUGUGACUCAUUGAGAGUACCCGAAGAAAAAGCAUCGGCUAACUCCGUGCCAGCAGCCGCGGUAAUACGGAGGAUGCGAGCGUUAUCCGGAUUUCUUGGGUUUAAAGGGUGCGCAGGCGGAGGUGCACGUCAGCGGUCAAAGUGCGGGGCUCAACCCCGUACUGCCGUUGAACCUGCAUCCCUUGAGUGCGCGAGAAGUAUGCGGAAUGCGUGGUGUAGCGGUGAAAUGCAGAGAUAUCACGCAGAACGCCGAUUGCGAAGGCAGCAUACCGGCGCGCAACUGACGCUCAUGCACGAAAGCGUGGGUAUCGAACAGGAUUAGAUACCCCAGUAGUC